This 123-nucleotide ribosomal RNA is filed under the name Clostridioides difficile. RNAcentral describes it as "partial 23S ribosomal RNA". It matches the Rfam family "Bacterial large subunit ribosomal RNA", at positions 2799 to 2925 of the family's 2925-position model. Lineage: Bacteria; Bacillati; Bacillota; Clostridia; Peptostreptococcales; Peptostreptococcaceae. The record is from RNAcentral.
UCAAGAUAAGAUUUCCCACCGCAAGGGUAAGACCCCAGAAAGACUAUCUGGUUGAUAGGUCGAAGGUGUAAGUUCAGCAAUGUAUUUAGCUUAUCGAUACUAAUAGGUCGAGGACUUGACCAA